RNAcentral lists this long non-coding RNA (462 nucleotides) under Brassica rapa (field mustard). RNAcentral's name for it is "long non-coding RNA (BRAP_LNC003952)". Lineage: Eukaryota; Viridiplantae; Streptophyta; Magnoliopsida; Brassicales; Brassicaceae. The record is from RNAcentral.
AGACUACUUACUAUGCCAAGGUGAUGGAUUCGGAUGUGAACCAGGCGUUGGAUGUGUUGGCUGAUAUCUUGCAGAACUCUAAGUUCGAGGAGCAGAGGAUUAACCGGGAGCGUGAUGUCAUCCUCAGGGAAAUGCAAGAGGUAUCAUCUUCUUCUUAAAAAUUCAAACUUUUUGCUCUGUUAUUGAUUGAUGGACUUAAUCAUAUGCUGGCAUGGUCGUGAAGUAAAUAUUUCGUUUGCAUUUUUCGUUUAUUUGGUGAUAUUAUUGUUAAUUUGAUUGUUCAUUCACUCUCUUAAGCACUGUUGUUGUUUUUUCUAUAGGUGGAGGGACAAACUGAUGAAGUUGUUCUUGACCAUCUACAUGCCACUGCUUUCCAAUACACACCUCUUGGAAGAACUAUUCUUGGACCUGCUCAGAAUAUCAAGUCUAUCACCAGAAAUGAUCUUCAGAACUACAUCAAGA